This 497-nucleotide ribosomal RNA is filed under the name uncultured bacterium. RNAcentral describes it as "partial 16S ribosomal RNA". It matches the Rfam family "Bacterial small subunit ribosomal RNA", at positions 28 to 507 of the family's 1533-position model. The record is from RNAcentral.
GAUGAACGCUGGCGGCGUGCCUAAUACAUGCAAGUCGAGCGAACGGACGGGAAGCUUGCUUUUCUGAUGUUAGCGGCGGGCGGGUGAGUAACACGUGGAUAACCUACCUAUAAGACUGGGAUAACUUCGGGAAACCGGAGCUAAUACCGGAUAAUAUUUUGAACCGCAUGGUUCAAAAGUGAAAGACGGUCUUGCUGUCACUUAUAGAUGGAUCCGCGCUGCAUUAGCUAGUUGGUAAGGUAACGGCUUACCAAGGCAACGAUGCAUAGCCGACCUGAGAGGGUGAUCGGCCACACUGGAACUGAGACACGGUCCAGACUCCUACGGGAGGCAGCAGUAGGGAAUCUUCCGCAAUGGGCGAAAGCCUGACGGAGCAACGCCGCGUGAGUGAUGAAGGUCUUCGGAUCGUAAAACUCUGUUAUUAGGGAAGAACAUAUGUGUAAGUAACUGUGCACAUCUUGACGGUACCUAAUCAGAAAGCCACGGCUAACUACGUG